GAUGAACGCUAGCGGCAGGCUUAAUACAUGCAAGUCGUGGGGCAGCAGGUUUGUAGCAAUACAGAUGCUGGCGACCGGCAAACGGGUGCGGAACACGUACAGAACCUUCCUUUGAGCGGGGAAUAGCCCAGAGAAAUUUGGAUUAAUACCCCAUAGUAUAAUGAAGUGGCAUCACUUUAUUAUUAAAGAUUUAUCACUCGAAGAUGGCUGUGCGGCUGAUUAGGUAGUUGGCGGGUAAAGGCCCACCAAGCCUGCGAUCAGUAACUGGUGUGAGAGCACGACCAGGGUCACACGGGCACUGAGACACGGGCCCGACUCCUACGGGAGGCAGCAGUAAGGAUAUUGGUCAAUGGAGGCAACUCUGAACCAGCCAUGCCGCGUGGAGGAUGAAGGUCCUCUGGAUUGUAAACUUCGUUUUAUAUGGGACGAAAAAGGACUUUUCGUAAGUCGUCUGACGGUACCA
RNAcentral lists this ribosomal RNA (463 nucleotides) under uncultured bacterium. Its description in RNAcentral is "bacterial SSU rRNA". It matches the Rfam family "Bacterial small subunit ribosomal RNA", at positions 28 to 480 of the family's 1533-position model. The record is from RNAcentral.